AAUGAACGCUGGCGGCAUGCCUAACACAUGCAAGUCGAGCGAACAAAUGGGGAGUUUUCUCGUCUGACGUUGUCGGCGGACGGGUGAUGCACACGUGUUUGGCCUACCUCUAAGACUGGGGUCACGAUACGGGACCUUAUCUAAUACCCGAUAAUAUAUUGAAACUGGUGGAUCAAUAGUGCAAUCAGUUUUUUAUGAGACUAAUAGACUUAUCCGGGUCGCAUUAGUUAGUUGGUAAGGUAGCGGCUUACCAAGGCUAGGAUGCGUAGCCGACCUGAGAGGGUGAUCAGACACACUGGAACUGAGACACGGUCCAGACUCCUACGGGAGGCAGCAGUAGGGAAUCUUCCGCAAUGGGCGAAAGCCUGAUGGAGCAAAGCCGCGUGAGUGAUGAAGGUCUUCGGAUUGUAAAGCUCUGUAAGUUGGGAGGAAGAAAAGUGUAUUUAACCAUGACCGUAUUGACGGUACCUAAAGAAUAAGCCCCGGCUAACUACGUG
RNAcentral lists this ribosomal RNA (497 nucleotides) under uncultured bacterium. RNAcentral's name for it is "partial 16S ribosomal RNA". It matches the Rfam family "Bacterial small subunit ribosomal RNA", at positions 29 to 507 of the family's 1533-position model. The record is from RNAcentral.